Molecule: ribosomal RNA, 207 nt
Filed under: uncultured bacterium
Lineage: Bacteria
Description: partial 16S ribosomal RNA
Rfam family: Bacterial small subunit ribosomal RNA
Source: RNAcentral
UUUGUAGGCGGCCACGCAAGUGGGGUGUGAAAUCCCUCGGCUCAACCGAGGAAUUGCGCUCCAAACUGCGUGGCUUGAGGGAGACAGGGGUUAGCGGAACUGAUGGUGGAGCGGUGAAAUGCGUUGAUAUCAUCAGGAACACCGGUGGCGAAAGCGGCUAACUGGGUCUCUUCUGACGCUGAGAAACGAAAGCUAGGGUAGCGAACG